Molecule: long non-coding RNA, 2608 nt
Filed under: Nicotiana tabacum (common tobacco)
Lineage: Eukaryota; Viridiplantae; Streptophyta; Magnoliopsida; Solanales; Solanaceae
Description: long non-coding RNA (NTAB_LNC009591)
Source: RNAcentral
CACCCCCUAACAUCAUCUGGUUGAGCAGAUGGAACGUUAACUUUAAGGAGGCAAUAGCCUAAUCAGUCUAAUAAUUCAUCUUAGCCAAUAUAUGUGGCAAAUAAAGUCUGAUACAUAACUCUGACAUCUAGCAAAAUCACCUAUCAUGACUUCUUCAAAUCCAUGAUCAUUUUUUUUGUCAUAUUGGCAAAUUGCUUGACACUCAGCCAAAAGGUGCUGACGUUCCAAGAUCCCUUUUCCACGACCUUCAAUCCAGUAAUAGCCAAAAACAGUCUAAAUAAGUUCACAUACAUAUUCCUAGUCAACCAUGAUUUACCGAUCUAAUAGUCCAGAGUAACAAUUACAGACAACGCUAAUAGAACUUUAUAGGAAACAAGAAUACUGCUUAGGCUAUUCCUUGAAAGAAACAACAAUGUGUUAGCGGUAAAAAAUGAUUGAUUAAAUUCCACAAGUGUUAGGUCAAUAGUCAUGCCUCUUAUGACUGAUGUAUACUCUCGUGUCAUUAGAGUAAUCUUACCACAAAUGCAGAAGGAUAACUAUAAAAGGCAACCAAAAUAAUUGAAGUAACAUAACUGCGUUACUUACCUUUGAAUUUUUUUAUUCACAUAGCAUUUAUAUUCUCAUUGAGUUUCUUUUAGUACCAUUGUUUGCCACCAAACUGACAUAAAACAGUCAAUGAAAAGAAGCAUGUGCAAAAUCAGUCCAAAGGAAAAGCUAAAGAAAUCAAGAAAUUCUACAAUUGCCUUCAACAAAAUUCAACAAUACCUCAUUGCAGAGCGCUCUUAUCUCUAAAACGUCACAACCUCUCAGAGAACUUUCUUUGACACAAUCUGAAGACAACCAAGAAAUUUGGACAUGCAUAAGUAGAAUCAAUUAAGAGAAGAGCAAAAGAACAGGUAGUUCUAGAAUAGUCAUAAGAAAUUUCUAUACCUUCUACGCGGAAAAUAUAAUACGGAGUAUAUGGAAUUCGAAAAGGGCAGAGGAAAAAUUUCAGGAAAAAAAAUAAUCAGAAUCCAGGAAGAAGAUGAUGUAAGAGAGGGAAAAAGAGCGCUAUGGGAAACCACAACGUACGAUCCACAACGUACGAUUCUAGAAAUAUGGAUACGAAGAAAGAAGAGAAGAUUCAAAACACGUCGUUCAAAAAGUAUACGUGUGAAAACCAAUUUGGAAAAAACAGCCCUCACUAUGCACCGUACGAUUUUAUCCUUGGACGACCAAAUUGUGCAUUUCAACGCUCAAACUCCAGAUUUUAUUGGACCAUCAUCCACAAGAUCUUGAACCUCACUGUAUUGAAUCCCACGGCACAAGAAUAAAAUCUAUCAUCAAAUUUUUAAUUAUGGCAUAACCAAAGAUAUGAGGCAAGCUUGCUCUGGAUUACUGUAAGUUUAAAAAAAUCACCAAAAUCACAUUUCUAAACUUACAAAAUUUAUUUUGUGUGCCUUGGGUAUGACAUCAUCACUUUGUAGAGUUGUAUAGCUCAUUCAUGGCUGCAAAAAUAAAGUAUAUUUAGGUAUAAAAUGGUAACUAAGUUAUGCUAGAGCCCAAUACAUCUUUAAAAUAAAGACUAUCUUUCAUGUUUCUUACUUUUCUUAAUUUUUUCUCCUUCAUGCAUUUCAAUUCAACAUUCUGCAAAAAAAGGAAAGCAGCAAUCCUGGUCAUAAACAAAUCUAUAUAUAACAUUUUUAUACCAAAUGCACUAAAGUAAAAUUUGCUAUAUAAACAAAAUAUCAAUUAAUAGCGAGUCAGUCAUAAAUAAUUUUGGAUUUUGCUAGGUACGACCAAUGGUCACUAUGUAGUAUUUUGGGCUAUUUUCUAUAUAUAACCAAACAUUUGUUGAGUAACAGAUUAAACUCUGUUUUUUUUCUUUCAUUCAAGCAUUAUCCUAUUUCUAUGUAGAACUUACAAGUCACAACUAAGAAGUUACUUAUAGAAAAUUAAGCUCUUUCACAUACCUAUUACCUGUACCAUGUCAGUGAUAGUCAUACUAUCCUUCUUCCUUUUGUUAGAGCAGAUUCUUUAACACAUGAAGGAUAUGGAAAGAAUAUUAUAUCAGUUCAUUUUCUCACAUUCAUCGUAAGUAUAAGAGUUACCUGACAGUUGAAGUGUGAAGAAAUGCACAGAACAAUAGAAGAAGCACCAGAAACACAUAGAAGAAUAUAAGCCCCUGAGGUUGCAGUUUUCUUCCAAAAUUACCAGCUGUUUUUCGAUUGUUAUACCUGUAAGAAAAGCCGCUAGAAAUUACUUGUAUUUACAAAAUUAAAUUGUAUUCCAUUACAACAAAGGAGGCCAUGCAUAAAUAGAGGCCACUAUAAGAGUGAAAAUACAAAGCAGCAACAUGCAAAGAUCGAAAAUACCAAAUUGAACUCAUCUGACCGAUUUUAACUUAUAUUAAGUCAGAACCCCUAUAUCUAAACCAACAAAAUAGGAUUAGUUGUUUGUGAUUGUAGAAAAAACUGUUAACCUACCCUGAUAAAAAAAUAUUUGAAGGUAUGCGCUAGGAAUCGACAUUCUUUGAAGUAUUCUGCAAAUGGAUGAUAAUGUUUCACUUAAUUAAAUCCUAAUUCCUGAUUGCAUGUACAAGAUUCAGUGAAGAAAAAAGUUAAAUAAU